GGCAGCGUUUCAGACAAACAGCUCAGGGGCCCACAUUCAGCCAGACUUGCAGAGAACCCGAGGCCUAGACCGGCGAGGGGCCGUGGUAGGCAAUUAGCCAAAUCUACAACAAUGACACUCUAAGGAGCGGUGGCUGCUGACAGGCUUUCUGAGCAGGGUGGCUGGAAGGAUGAAAUGCAGUGAUGGAUCUGGAGUGCCUAGCAGAUGCGUGGCACGUGGUAAGCUCUCCAUAAUGCAGUCAAGUGGAAACUCCUCCAGGAAGCCUCCCCAGACCACCUGCCUGGAUCUGGGCUCUAAGACGUCUGUGCUCCCCUGUGCUUGCUCAUCUCCUCGGGCAAUCGGUUUUCAUCGCCUGUUUUUGUGGCUC
Molecule: long non-coding RNA, 367 nt
Filed under: Homo sapiens (human)
Lineage: Eukaryota; Metazoa; Chordata; Mammalia; Primates; Hominidae
Description: HSALNT0181775
Source: RNAcentral